CCUACGGGUGGCAGCAGUGAGGAAUAUUGGUCAAUGGACGAGAGUCUGAACCAGCCAAGUAGCGUGAAGGAUGACUGCCCUAUGGGUUGUAAACUUCUUUUAUAUGGGAAUAAAAUGUUUCACGUGUGGGAUUUUGUAUGUACCAUAUGAAUAAGGAUCGGCUAACUCCGUGCCAGCAGCCGCGGUAAUACGGAGGAUCCGAGCGUUAUCCGGAUUUAUUGGGUUUAAAGGGAGCGUAGGUGGAUUGUUAAGUCAGUUGUGAAAGUUUGCGGCUCAACCGGAAAAUUGCAGUUGAAACUGGCAGUCUUGAGUACAGGAGAGGUGGGCGGAAUUCGUGGUGUAGCGGUGAAAUGCUUAGAUAUCACGAAGAACUCCGAUUGCGAAGGCAGUUCACUGGACUGCAACUGACACUGAGGCUCGAAAGUGUGGGUAUCAAACAGGAUUAGAUACCCCUGUAGUC
This 460-nucleotide ribosomal RNA is filed under the name uncultured bacterium. RNAcentral describes it as "partial 16S ribosomal RNA". It matches the Rfam family "Bacterial small subunit ribosomal RNA", at positions 338 to 795 of the family's 1533-position model. The record is from RNAcentral.